UGCGAGCGUAGUUGUCAGAGCUGGGAGAGCGUUUAUUGGGAAAUUGUAAAUCACUUCAUGAGCCUGCACACAGUGGGCUCCCUGCAUGCUUUUUCUUCUUAACUGCAAAAGCCUGGACCUCAUCAUACCAUUUCAGACAGGAAGCAGCCCUGCCAGUAGGCGAGACAGAGUAUGCGGUAUAAAACAGCAAGAAAUGGUUAUUUCAUGAGUGGAAUUCCAUGACCUGCUAUCUGAUUUUUGGUCACUGAAGUUUGGAGACUCUGAAAUAACCCUAGAGCAUAUGUCUGCCUGGCUACAGAUUGCCUUGAUGAAGCAAAAAUCUCCUCUGCCCUUGAAGAAAGUUGCCUGAUGGACAUAAGAACUCUGCAGAUGGCAUCAGCAGCCUUCAGAAUGAGAAGGAUAAGUCUUGAGGCAAACUAAAAAACAUAAGUACUAAUAUCACAUAUUUAAGAAUAAAAUUGUUAGCGUGUCCCAUUUCGUCCAAUUUAGUGACAUCAAAAGCUUUUGUUCUACACAGGAUUUCAUUUAAGAGUCUUACUGUUGCAGAUGACACAGCUGAUGUCUUUAUAUGUUUUCCAAGUGGCAUUCUAAAUAUGAUUACAGAAGCAUACUUUGUCAGAGUUUUAUUUCCCUAUUCUGUUUCUUAAGGAAAUUCCAGGGCCACUGACAUGUAAAAUCUUAUGUACAAGACCUAUAGUUUCAGCUUCUGUCACGCAGUUUUAAGUGUAUUUAUUAGCAUUCUUACUCCUAUUUGUUGUCCUCUUGACAAAGCAUAGAAGCAACAUGCCGCUCUCUGACGGGUAAUGGCAGCCUAUUAUGUUGUUUGAUUAACAAAGCUGCCUACAAUGUUAUUGAAUUAUAUUUGGUGAUGCAUAGCCUUGUAUUAAUUUUCUUGUAGUCCUUGCAGGCCCAUUUUGGAAGUUCGUUUUCUGUGGAUUGAGGGUAGAUUCCUUGGUAAUAAUGUCAUGGCAAGAACUAUGAGUGUAUUCAAGACUAAUAGCAUUAUUUUUAAGUAGGGGGUGAUUUAUACUAUUAAUAGCUUCAGGAACAAUACUAUAUGAUCAGUCCAUUACGUAAAUAUAGGAAAAACUAGGCUUUACUGAAUUUGCCCAGAAAGGCAAUGUUUACUAACAGAUUGGAUGUCUUUAUUUAAUUAUAAAGUGCUUUAAUUAUAAAUGAACUUAAUAUUUUUGAGUAAGUGCUGCCUGAAGUAAUGACCUGUGUUGUGACUAAACUUUUAACUUAUUAAAUUACCAUAUAAGUUCGUACUUCUAUGAUGAAGUUUUUUUUGCCUGAGAACAGCAAGUGCAUGGGGAAGUUGUAACUAACUCUACAUAUGAGCUUCAACUGCGUAUUUCAAAGCUGCUUUUUCAGAAAUGCUUUUUCAUUACACAGUUCAAUAACCCAUGAUCUCCAAUUCAUUAGGACAAUUAUUUCUUUCCCAACUUUCUCUUACUUAUUUAGCUGUUUGCCUUUCCACUGUAUACAGUAGAGAUGACCAGUUUCAUUUUUAAAGAGCUCUUUUGAGCAAUUACACUCUCUCUCAAAGUAAGUUACAAGGUAAACUCAGACGUGAGGAGGAGGAGGAGCCAGGGAGGUAUUUUAAGAGAGUGACUGGUUUGCAUUGGCAUCAGUUUGCAGUGAAUCUGAGUUUUCUUGAAUGGUCAAGAGUCACAGAAUGGCACAGAGUGGAUUUUUUACUUCUGCAGCUGCUCCUCUUGCCUUGCUUCCUUCUUGUCCUCCUUCCUUAGACCUGAAGCUGCAUAAGGGGCCAGCAGAGAGACCCUUUGAAAAAUCUCCACCAAGAGUGAUUUGAGCGCUGGGCAGAGAGUUCCUUGAUUUUGGUGUAGGAAAGGGAAAAAUUUAAUCCAGCAAUUGGAAUUUUUGUGUUAUGGGUAUAUAAAAGAUGAAAAGAGAUGUUAAAGGCUGAAGCCCAGAGUACUGUCCUAUUUGAUUCCAGAGGAGCAGUGUGUAGGGAGUUAACAAGAAGUGGCUUUUGGAUCCAAUUCAGAAUUGUCUGAUAUUCCCUGUAUUGUACUGAAAAGUCUAUGGUGCCAUUAUUGAGCACUUUAAAUGCAAGAAUAAGGCUUUUUCUAUAGUGAUGCUCAAUAAUAUGACCAGAGAAGUAGUGAGUGUGCUCUCCUGUCG
Non-coding RNA from Struthio camelus australis, 2148 nucleotides. The record is from RefSeq and is a predicted model, not a curated record. NCBI's taxonomy places the organism in Eukaryota, Metazoa, Chordata, Aves, Struthioniformes, Struthionidae.